GGACGAACGCUGGCGGCGUGCUUAACCCAUGCAAGUCGAACGGAAAGGCCCUUCGGGGUACUCGAGUGGCGAACGGGUGAGUAACACGUGGGUGAUCUGCCCUGCACUUUGGGAUAAGCCUGGGAAACUGGGUCUAAUACCGAAUAGGACCACGCGCUUCAUGGUGUGUGGUGGAAAGCUUUUGCGGUGUGGGAUGGGCCCGCGGCCUAUCAGCUUGUUGGUGGGGUAAUGGCCUACCAAGGCGACGACGGGUAGCCGGCCUGAGAGGGUGACCGGCCACACUGGGACUGAGAUACGGCCCAGACUCCUACGGGAGGCAGCAGUGGGGAAUAUUGCACAAUGGGCGCAAGCCUGAUGCAGCGACGCCGCGUGAGGGAUGACGGCCUUCGGGUUGUAAACCUCUUUCAAUAGGGACGAAGCGCAAGUGACGGUACCUAUAGAAGAAGCACCGGCCAACUACGUG
This 463-nucleotide ribosomal RNA is filed under the name uncultured bacterium. RNAcentral's name for it is "partial 16S ribosomal RNA". It matches the Rfam family "Bacterial small subunit ribosomal RNA", at positions 27 to 507 of the family's 1533-position model. The record is from RNAcentral.